AAAUCGUAAUUCAACACACCCCAAAAAACCCUCGCCCUCAUCCUCUCCCUCACUCUUGGUCCCUCGAUGGCUCGACUCUCUCUCCCCCAGUCUCUCGUUAACUACACGCCGUGCCACGGUUGGAGCCGUCAGACUCUGCUACUGAAGCAGCGGCGCAACACCUAUGCAAUGGUCGAUUCGUUGGAUCUGCAACUGAGGUAAGAAUGAUGGAGAGAGGACCAGAGGACUCAAUUCGGCAAAAGAUGGAGGAAUUGGGGCUUACCUGCGAUCGAGAAAACAUGGUUCAAAACCAGAAAUUGAGCUCCUCUAGUGAUUCCUUUCGAAAAUAUUUUCCGUCGGUCAAGCGUAUGUACAAAGAGACGGUCGAAAAAAAAGGUUGUAAAAGGACCAUCAUGAAGCAGAGUAAAAGUGCAUUGGCUCUACAUCUUGACUUUAAUAUUGUUAGUGGCUUUGUUAAUUUUUAGCCUUAUUUUGCUUAAUAUGUAAAAAUAUGCCAAAGGCGACAUUUCAAGGAAUUUUAUAUGUGACCAUAGUUGUAAUGUUAUAAAGCUCGAAAUUUGAGGAUCAUCAGAAUAGGAUCAAAUAAAGAAAGGCCAAUUCCAACCCU
Molecule: long non-coding RNA, 607 nt
Organism: Macadamia integrifolia
Lineage: Eukaryota; Viridiplantae; Streptophyta; Magnoliopsida; Proteales; Proteaceae
Exons: 2
Source: RefSeq, a predicted model, not a curated record